CCUACGGGAGGCAGCAGUGGGGAAUUUUGGACAAUGGGGGCAACCCUGAUCCAGCCAUGCCGCGUGCAGGAAGAAGGCCUUCGGGUUGUAAACUGCUUUCGGACAGAAAGAAAUCGUUACCGCUAAUACCGGUGAUGGAUGACGGUACUGUAAGAAGAAGCACCGGCUAACUACGUGCCAGCAGCCGCGGUAAUACGUAGGGUGCGAGCGUUAAUCGGAAUUACUGGGCGUAAAGCGUGCGCAGGCGGAUUGUUAAGCAAGAUGUGAAAUCCCCGGGCUUAACCUGGGAAUGGCAUUUUGAACUGGCAGUCUAGAGUGCGUCAGAGGGGGGUGGAAUUCCACGUGUAGCAGUGAAAUGCGUAGAGAUGUGGAGGAACACCGAUGGCGAAGGCAGCCCCCUGGGAUGACACUGACGCUCAUGCACGAAAGCGUGGGGAGCAAACAGGAUUAGAUACCCUGGUAGUCCACGCCCUAAACGAUGUCAACUGGUUGUUGGGUGCGCAAGUACUUAGUAACGAAGCUAACGCGUGAA
Molecule: ribosomal RNA, 532 nt
Filed under: uncultured bacterium
Lineage: Bacteria
Description: bacterial SSU rRNA
Rfam family: Bacterial small subunit ribosomal RNA
Source: RNAcentral